Potamilus streckersoni is the source of this 84-nucleotide non-coding RNA. Lineage: Eukaryota; Metazoa; Mollusca; Bivalvia; Unionida; Unionidae. The record is from the annotation of a GenBank genome assembly.
GCUCUGGUGGCCUAGUGGUUAGAGCAUCCGCCUCAGAUGCGGGAGGUUGUGGGUUCGCUCCCCGGUCGUGUCAUACUAAAGACU